GGGAUGCAGUUCACUCGAUACAGGAAGUUAAGGUCAGGAACUGGUUUGGAAGCUUCGACAGUGAUGAAAGCUGAACGAUACUGUUUCGAAUCGUGACGUCACAACCAGCAAGCGGCAGCCGGGUGUCAGUAGCGAGUGUUCUUCGGUGCGUGGGUGCGUGAUUCUCGUGGACCUAAGAAAUUGACUUUGAAUUUGAUUGUUUAAACAUUAACGUGCAUCAGUGUCCUGUCGUGGCGUGAGUGAUCUGUGAGUGUGCUAAUAUUUGCGUUAAAGGCACCUCUCUCGCUCCUCUCACUAAACACAAAACGAGUGGUGGAAUCGAGGACCUUCUCCCCUCCCGUGCUGGGUAUGAAGGAGGGGCUCAGGACGCCAGUGACUCCGCCUCGCCUCACCACAAGCCGGCUCGGACACAGGCGUAGGAGACCUGCCGCCCCUUUACUGCCCCACCCGCCCUGCACAGAGUCACCUGCUCUCAUUUCGCCUUGAUAGUUUCCCUUUCUCAUUUUCCUCUCUGCACUCACUCCCAGCGUCCGCCUCCCCUCCUCCCCACCCUCUUUCUUUCCCCUCUUUCCUCUCUUUUUCUUACCUUUUCAGAUGCACCCCAAGUUAUUCCUCAUCACUCCCCUCGUUAUUUCCCCUCCUUACGCAAAAUAAGAAACACUGGAGCUGCUAUUACUUUUGCCGGCGGUCCCUUCUGCUGCUAUAGCGACGUUAUGCAUUCGGGGACCCGCCUCGCAAAGAGUUGUCAUCAUAUACUAGAGCCAGAACACCAGCGACGCCACCUGCAGCCUUCUCCCUUCCCUUGCCAAGUCCAUGUGUCUGGCUGGCCUGUUGCCUCGCCAGCCUCUAGACGGCAAGCCAGUGACCUGAGAUGACCUGGGAUUCUACACUUCAUCGUGACCUCCCCCGGUGACUCCCCAGCCUGGACAGCCAAUUACGGCCUAAGUAAUGUAUGGCCUCCCCGAGAUGCCGGCCGCCGGGAAAGGGAACGGGAGACGAAUGGGGUAAGAGGAACGUGGAAGAAGGAAGAGGAACAGCCGGAGGAGGCAUGAGGAAACGCGAAGACGACGAUUGCUGUCAUAUGGAAAAAAAGAUGAAAGAGCAGUGAAGGGAGAAAGCAUAGAGGAGGAAAAGGUAGAAAGAACAGUGAAGGGAAGAAGCAUAGAGAAGGAAAAGGUAGAAAGAACAGUGAAGGGAGGAAGCAUAGAGAAGGAAAAGAAAAAGCCAGAAAAUGCAGAAAAAUAUGAGAAUAGAAGAAAUCAGAAGGAGAACCUGAAAAAAAUCGGAAAAGGAACAGUGAAAGGAAGGAGACGAGGCAAGCAACACGAAGAUGAUCACUAUCAAAUGAAAAAAAAAAUGUGGAGAAAAAGGAAAAAGUAAACCCAGACACAACGAAAAAAAACAUUAAUAAAAGAAAUAAGAAAAAAGGGGUAGAAGCUAAAAGAGAAAGGCAAGGAGGAGACGAAGGAUAAUGAAUGCAAUGGAGGAGAGAGGAGGGAAGAGAAGAAGAAAAUAAGAAAGAGAAAAAAAGAUGGGAGGAAUAAGUCAGACACACUGGAAAACAAAACUGGGCAAAAAGGCGAGAGAAACCACAGCCAGACAGCCAUCCAACCAGUUAACCAGCCAGUCAGACAUUCAGCCAGACACUCACCCACACACUCACCCACACACUCACCCACACAGCCAGCAACUCAGCCAAUCAGCCAGCCAGCCACACACUCACCCACUUCUUACCCACCUACACCCAGCCAGUCAACCUGUCACCCACCCACUCAGCCAACCAGUCAGUCAGCCAGCCUA
Eriocheir sinensis (Chinese mitten crab) is the source of this 1800-nucleotide long non-coding RNA. RefSeq lists it as uncharacterized. The transcript is spliced from 4 exons. The record is from RefSeq and is a predicted model, not a curated record. Lineage: Eukaryota; Metazoa; Arthropoda; Malacostraca; Decapoda; Varunidae.